RNAcentral lists this long non-coding RNA (664 nucleotides) under Astyanax mexicanus (Mexican tetra). RNAcentral's name for it is "lncRNA (ENSAMXG00005007529.1)". The record is from RNAcentral. Lineage: Eukaryota; Metazoa; Chordata; Actinopteri; Characiformes; Acestrorhamphidae.
CUGUCUUACAUUGGACCAAAAGGUGAAUACAGUGUUGUUUUAAUAGAAAUGUGACGUUGAUUUCCGACCAAAAUUCAAUACCUGAACAAAAAUCUGGAGCAAUAGUGUUAAAGCUUAUUCUGCACUGUUAAUAAUAAUCUUUUUAGAUUUUUUUUUUGAGAUUUAUCUUUUCUUCUCUAUUUUUCAAGAAUAUGAUGAACAUCCUGGGACCUGACAGUCACAUCAACAACAUUGGAAAGAUCCAUUUAGUCCAGUUCUCUGCAGAAGGAGUAUUUGGUUGGAUUUUGAAGGACCCUUUGUUUAUUGACACCUUUCUGUCAGAACCAAUAGAAAUUCUGGAGGGAGGUCAGAGAAAGAGAAGACACAGCGGUGAUCUCUGGAGCUCUGGACCUCUACCCCGCAUUCCCAACCCAAUAGCAUGUCUCAAUCCCAGUGAUAUGCUCAUCUUUCAGCUAACCAUCAACUACACUGACCGUCUCCUCAGCCACUUCCCUGUGUAUCAGAAGGACCAUUUGUUCAGUAGUAAUCCUGCCUGGGACUUUGGAGCAUUCAGGCAUCUGGAGCGGCUUAUCAAGCAUUCUCAGUUUAAUUCCACCAGGUACGCUUGUGAUGACUAAUGAUUUAUACACACAUGGCCCCAAGAAUGGAGCCAGUAUUCUAUAUG